GAUGAACGCUGGCGGCGUGCUUAACACAUGCAAGUCGAACGAAGCACUUUAUUUGAUUUCCUUCGGGACUGAUUAUUUUGUGACUGAGUGGCGGACGGGUGAGUAACCCGUGGGUAACCUGCCUUGUACAGGGGGAUAACAUUUGGAAACGGCUGCUAAUACCGCAUAAGCGCCCAGCAUCGCAUGAUGCAGUGUGAAAAACUCCGGUGGUAUAAGAUGGACCCGCGUUGGAUUAGCAAGUUGGUGAGGUAACGGCCCACCAAGGCGACGAUCCAUAGCCGACAUGAGAGGCUGACCGGCCACACUGGGACUGAGACACGGCCCGGACUCCUACGGGAGGGAGCAGUGGGGAAUAUUGCACAAUGGGCGAAAGCAUGAUGCAGCGACGCCGCGUGAGCGAAGAAGUAUUUCGGUAUGUAAAGCUCUAUUAGCAGGGAAGAUAAUGACGGUACCUGACUAAGAAGCACCGGCUAACUACGUG
Molecule: ribosomal RNA, 481 nt
Filed under: uncultured bacterium
Lineage: Bacteria
Description: partial 16S ribosomal RNA
Rfam family: Bacterial small subunit ribosomal RNA
Source: RNAcentral